AGAGUUUGAUUCUGGCUCAGGAUGAACGCUAGCGGCAGGCUUAACACAUGCAAGUCGAGGGGUAGCAGGAGUAGCAAUACUUGCUGACGACCGGCGCACGGGUGAGUAACAGGUAUGCAAUCUGCCUCUAACCGGGGGAUAACCCGUCGAAAGACGGACUAACACCGCAUAAGACCACAGGUCGGCAUCGAUCAGGGGUAAAAUAUUUAUAGGUUAGAGAUGAGCAUGCUUAUCAUUAGGUAGUUGGUAGAGUAACGGCCUACCAAGCCGACGAUGAUUAGGGGUUCUGAGAGGAAGGUCCCCCACACUGGAACUGAGACACGGUCCAGACUCCUACGGGAGGCAGCAGUGAGGAAUAUUGGUCAAUGGGCGCAAGCCUGAACCAGCCAUGCCGCGUGAAGGAAGACGGCCUUAUGGGUUGUAAACUUCUUUUGUACGGGAACAAUAAGAUCUACGUGUAGAUCGACGAGCGUACCGUACGAAUAAGCAUCGGCUAACUCCGUGCCAGCAGCCGCGGUAAUACGGAGGAUGCGAGCGUUAUCCGGAUUUAUUGGGUUUAAAGGGUGCGUAGGCGGGCCCAUAAGUCAGUGGUGAAAUACCUCAGCUCAACUGGGGAAUUGCCAUUGAUACUGUGGUUCUUGAGUAUAUUUGAGGUAGGCGGAAUGUGUGGUGUAGCGGUGAAAUGCUUAGAUAUCACACAGAACACCAAUUGCGAAGGCAGCUUACUAAAAUAUAACUGACGCUGAAGCACGAAAGUGUGGGGAUCAAACAGGAUUAGAUACCCUGGUAGUCCACACUGUAAACGAUGAUUACUGGAUGUUUGCCGGGUUACUGGUGAGCGUCUCAAGCGAAAGCAUUAAGUAAUCCACCUGGGGAGUACGUCGGCAACGAUGAAACUCAAAGGAAUUGACGGGGGCCCGCACAAGCGGAGGAACAUGUGGUUUAAUUCGAUGAUACGCGAGGAACCUUACCCGGGCUAGAACGUAGGGAGACCGAUGGGGAAACUCAUUUUCAGCAAUGACUGCCUACGAGGUGCUGCA
This 1040-nucleotide ribosomal RNA is filed under the name uncultured bacterium. Its description in RNAcentral is "bacterial SSU rRNA". It matches the Rfam family "Bacterial small subunit ribosomal RNA", at positions 8 to 1045 of the family's 1533-position model. The record is from RNAcentral.